AUGAACGCUAGCUACAGGCUUAACACAUGCAAGUCGAGGGGCAGCAUGGAGUUGCUGCAAACUCUGAUGGCGACCGGCGCACGGGUGAGUAACGCGUAUCCAACCUUCCCUAUAGUAGAGGAUAGCCCGGCGAAAGUCGGAUUAAUACUCUAUGUUUUCCGUUGCAGACAUCUAAGAUGGAACAAAGGCUUGCCGCUAUAGGAUGGGGAUGCGUCUGAUUAGGUAGUCGGCGGGGUAACGGCCCACCGAGCCAUCGAUCAGUAGGGUUCUGAGAGGAAGGUCCCCCACAUUGGAACUGAGACACGGUCCAAACUCCUACGGGAGGCAGCAGUGAGGAAUAUUGGUCAAUGGGCGAGAGCCUGAACCAGCCAAGUAGCGUUGCAGGAUGACGGCCCUAUGGGUUGUAAACUGCUUUUAUGCGGGGAUAAAGUUCACUACGUGUAGUGUUUUGUAGGUACCGCAUGAAUAAGGACCGGCUAAUUCCGUGCCAGCAGCGGC
RNAcentral lists this ribosomal RNA (498 nucleotides) under uncultured bacterium. RNAcentral's name for it is "bacterial SSU rRNA". It matches the Rfam family "Bacterial small subunit ribosomal RNA", at positions 29 to 518 of the family's 1533-position model. The record is from RNAcentral.